GCCACCCCACCCCGCCCCCUCCUCUCCCUCGCCUCGAAACUUCUCUGAACGGAACCCGCUCGCCUCCCACGACCCCUCCCCUCCGUUAGGCCUCGUUUCGUAGAAGCGGAUCGGAGGGGUUUUCAGCGGAUUUUCCUCGCGUGGCCCAGAAUCCUCCCAAAUCCCCGUUGGCCCGUUUGGUACACAGGGUUUUCACGGCCCAAUUCCCCCGAACCCCUCCUUUUCACGCGGCUCUCAGCCCUCGAGUCCCCCCUCGAGGAUUUGGAGGAGACGCUGCCGCCGCCGCCCGGCUCCUCCUGAAGACACCGCCGCCCGGCUCCUUCUCAACACGCUGCCGACCGACGCCUCGACGCCGAUGUACCUCCUCCGCCGUACUGGCCUUCUCCCCGGUGGUCUUCUUCGGGUACGGUACUGAGCCAGAAAAGAAGCAAUUGGCAAACCUACCCAAGGGUCAUGUAUUAAUGCUGGGUCUUCACAUGUAUGGUUGCCUGGUGAUUCAGAAGGUUGAGAAGUGGAACAAAGCAGAGGAAGAAUGAGACGUUUGCAGGAUCCCUCGAAAUCGUUUGUUGCUUUUGUGUCAGCGCUAUUGUUGUCGGCAUGCUUAAAUGUACGCAUGUCUUAUGUAUUCUCCGCAUGCUUAAAUGUACGCAUGUCUUUCCUCGGACUUGUGAAUGCCGAAAACGUAUGAGAUAUUUUUGGUUCCAAGUCAUGCUGAUGUGAGAGAUUAUGUUGCUGUUAUGUGACAUUGUAAUUAUGUGAUGAUAUAUUGGUUUCAAGUCAAGCAAAUUAUGUUGUUCAUGUGAA
Triticum dicoccoides is the source of this 804-nucleotide long non-coding RNA. RefSeq lists it as uncharacterized. The record is from RefSeq and is a predicted model, not a curated record. The transcript is spliced from 3 exons. NCBI's taxonomy places the organism in Eukaryota, Viridiplantae, Streptophyta, Magnoliopsida, Poales, Poaceae.